ACGCUAGCUACAGGCUUAACACAUGCAAGUCGAGGGGAAACGGCGUUGAGUGCUUGCACUCUUUGGACGUCGACCGGCGCACGGGUGAGUAACGCGUAUCCAACCUUCCCAUUACUGUGGGAUAACCUGCCGAAAGGCAGACUAAUACCGCAUAGUCUUCGAUGACGGCAUCAGAUUUGAAGUAAAGAUUUAUCGGUAAUGGAUGGGGAUGCGUCUGAUUAGCUUGUUGGCGGGGUAACGGCCCACCAAGGCAACGAUCAGUAGGGGUUCUGAGAGGAAGGUCCCCCACAUUGGAACUGAGACACGGUCCAAACUCCUACGGGAGGCAGCAGUGAGGAAUAUUGGUCAAUGGACGGAAGUCUGAUCCAGCCAAGUAGCGUGCAGGAUGACGGCCCUAUGGGUUGUAAACUGCUUUUGUAUGGGGAUAAAGUUAGGGACGUGUCCCUAUUUGCAGGUACCAUACGAAUAAGGACCGGCUAAUUCCGUGCCAGCAGCCGCGGUAAUACGGAAGGUCCAGGCGUUAUCCGGAUUUAUUGGGUUUAAAGGGAGCGUAGGCUGGAGAUUAAGUGUGUUGUGAAAUGUAGACGCUCAACGUCUGAAUUGCAGCGCAUACUGGUUUCCUUGAGUACGCACAACGUUGGCGGAAUUCGUCGUGUAGCGGUGAAAUGCUUAGAUAUGACGAAGAACUCCGAUUGCGAAGGCAGCUGACGGGAGCGCAACUGACGCUUAAGCUCGAAGGUGCGGGUAUCAAACAGGAUUAGAUACCCUGGUAGUCCGCACAGUAAACGAUGGAUGCCCGCUGUUGGUACCUGGUAUCAGCGGCUAAGCGAAAGCAUUAAGCAUCCCACCUGGGGAGUACGCCGGCAACGGUGAAACUCAAAGGAAUUGACGGGGGCCCGCACAAGCGGAGGAACAUGUGGUUUAA
This 925-nucleotide ribosomal RNA is filed under the name uncultured bacterium. RNAcentral's name for it is "bacterial SSU rRNA". It matches the Rfam family "Bacterial small subunit ribosomal RNA", at positions 33 to 949 of the family's 1533-position model. The record is from RNAcentral.